Molecule: ribosomal RNA, 406 nt
Filed under: uncultured bacterium
Lineage: Bacteria
Description: partial 16S ribosomal RNA
Rfam family: Bacterial small subunit ribosomal RNA
Source: RNAcentral
AUUGAACGCUGGCGGCAGGCCUAACACAUGCAAGUCGAGCGAGCGGCGGACGGGUGAGUAAUGUAUGGGGAUCUGCCCGAUAGAGGGGGAUAACUACUGGAAACGGUGGCUAAUACCGCAUACUAUCGGAUGAACCCAUAUGGGAUUAGCUAGUAGGGGGGGUAAAGGCUCACCUGGGCGACGAUCUCUAGCUGGUCUGAGAGGAUGAUCAGCCACACUGGGACUGAGACACGGCCCAGACUCCUACGGGAGGCAGCAGUGGGGAAUUUUGGACAAUGGGGGCAACCCUGAUCCAGCCAUGCCGCGUGCAGGAUGAAGGUCUUCGGAUUGUAAACUGCUUGUGUCAGGGAAGCGGUACCUGAAGAAUAAGCACCGGCUAACUACGUGCCAGCAGCCGCGGUAAUUC